RNAcentral lists this long non-coding RNA (9877 nucleotides) under Gossypium raimondii (Peruvian cotton). RNAcentral describes it as "long non-coding RNA (GRAI_LNC010298)". The record is from RNAcentral. Lineage: Eukaryota; Viridiplantae; Streptophyta; Magnoliopsida; Malvales; Malvaceae.
CUUUCCACAGGUUGGACCCCAUGGAGAUUAAAGGUGACGACGGUGGGAUGUGGUUGAGGAGCAAGUGAAGGGGUCCAAUGGUGUAAAAUUUAGGGAAGAUGGAGGAGAGAGCUUUGACGACAUCAUGUUCCAAUUCAUCGAAGGUGUUUACGAUUAUGGCGGAAGCUUUGGCAGCUCUGUCGCCCUCCGUCGCAAGGAAAUUCAACAUUAUAUCGUCUGGAUUCGUUGUUCGAACAAAGCUUGGAAGGUCUCUUAUGCGGAUGUUUUUCAUGCCCGGAAUCCAGUCGAUGACGGUAUCCAAAUACCCGUUUGUCAUAUAGGAUUCAUCUGCCCAAUGAGGAAAAAAUUGUUAGGGGUCAAAUUAGGAUUUCAGUCCUUUUACUAUGCUAAUAUUCGAGAUUUAUUAAAGAUGAAUGCUUAAGGAUGCAUUUUUAGAAAAGUUUUACUUUCUACAAUUUUAAUUGUUAAAAGUGAGGCUAUUUUACCAUCUUACCUAAAAAAAAUUAAUAUUUAUAAAAAUGACCCUAAUUUAAAAAUAUUCACCCAAAUAACUUAAAAUGAAUAAUAAAAUUAGUUUAUGGAAAGUAGAUGGCUGGCACCACUAUUUUUUCUAUUAAAAAAAUAAUUUUUAAAAUUUUAAACACUAGAUGGCUAGUAUCAUGUAUUUUUUUUUCAAAAUUUUUUGGGGCGCUAGCACACUAAUGACCAGCACCCCUUUAACUAAUUAAAAAAAUUAUUUUUUUGGGGUGUGUGGUGCUUGCCAAUGGCCAAAGUCACUCAACAAAAGGAAUGGACAUAUUGCAACAUUAGCCCUUCCUUGUUUUCCAUCUUUUUUUAUUUCCCAAGUUUAAUUACAUAUUUUAUAUUUUAAAAUAAUAUUGAACUACUUAUCAUGCUUUUUAAUUAUUAUUGCAUCACUCACAUUAUUAAUAAAUUAAAAAAUUAAUUUAAAUUUAAUAUGUACAAUUAAAUUAGAUUUUUUUGAUAAAAUUAGAACCUACUUUAAUAAUUUUCAUCUUUUAUAAUAAUUCAAACAAACAUUGCUAAAUUAUUGUUUCUUUUAUUUUAAAAAAUAACGAGCAAUAUAUUUAUAAAUUUAAUCUAUAGACGUUAUUUCUAAAUAUUAUUUUAUAAAUAUAUUACUAGUUAUUUUUUAAAAUAAAAGAAAUAAUAAUUUAGAAAUGUUUAUUUGAAUUAUUAUAGAAGACGAAAAUUAUAAAAGUAGGUUCAAAUUUUAUAAAAAAAAUCUAAUUUAAUUGUGCAUAUUAAAUUUAAAUUAAUUUUUUAAUUUAUUAAUAAUGUGAGUGAUGCAAUAAUAAUUAAAAAACAUGAUAAGUAGUUCAAUAUUAUUUUAAAAUAUAAAAUAUGCAAUUAAACUUGAGAAAUAAAAAUGAUGGGAAAAUCAAGAGGGGUUAAUAAUGCAAUAUGCCCAUCUCUUUUGUUGAGUGACUUUGGCCAUUUGUUGGCAAGCACCACGCACCCAAAAAAAAUAAAAUUUUUAAUCAGAUAAAGGGGUGCCAGCCAUCAGUGUUCCAGCACCUUAAAUUUUCUUUUUGAAAAAAAAAUGCAUGGGUACUGGCCAUCUAGUGUCCAAAACCCCAAAAAUUAUUUUUUAAUAAAAAAAUAAUAGUACUGACCAUCUAGUUUCCAUAACCUAAUUUUACUAAUUUUGAAUUAGGGUCAUUUUUAUAAAUAUUAAAUUUUGUUAAGUGAGAUGGGUAAAAUAGCCUAGAUGAAGUGAAGUUUUGUCACUAUUAUUCUACCACUGCCAUAUGAAAAUUGAGUGAAUCACUCAACUAAUAAUAAAUAUGCAUAAAAAUAAAAUGUUUAAGGCUAUUUAUUAUAAAAGGGUAAACUACACCCAUGGUCACUUUUGUUUACCUUAGGUUACAUUUCAGUCACUUAGGUUUGAAAUGUUACAUUUUAGUCACUUACGUUAUUGUGUUGUAACAUUUUAGUCACUGAGCCGUUAAUUGUCGUUAAUGGUGUAAUGGUAAGCUGACGUGUCACGUUAAAUCAUUAUUUCAAACAAAAUCUUUAGGUUAAAUUAUACAUUUGGUCCCCAUAAUUUUUCGUUUUGAGCAAUUUAAAUUUUUUUAUGUUCUUUUAACUUUCUUUCUUUCUUUUUUUCUUUUUUUUUUUUCCAUUCUCUUCUACUUCUCCCUCUGUUUUUCUACCUUCUUUAUUUCUUUUAACAUACCAGGAAGUCUAAUUGGUAGUGAAAAAAGAAGCAUGGUAUGGGUUUAUGGGUUUUGGUUAUAGGCAAAUGAUGGCAGUCGACUUCCUACUUCUUUUUUCAUUGCCAAUUCGACUUCCUAAUAUGUUAAAAGAAAUGAGAAAUGUAUGAAAAUAGAGGGAGAAACAAAAGAGAAUGGAAAAAAAGAGGAAAGUUUAAAGAACAUAAAAGAAAAAAAAUUAAAUUACUUAAAACGAAAAAAAUAUGAGGAUCAAUUGUAUAAUUUAACCUAAAAUUUUGUUUGAAAUGAUGAUUUAACGUGCCACGUCAGCUUACCGUUACACCAUUAACAACAAUUAAUGGCUUAGUGACUAAAAUGUUGCAACAUGAUAACGUAAAUGACUAAAACGUAACAUUUCAAACAUAAGUGACUAAAACGUAACCUAAGGUAAACAAAAGUGACCAUGGGUGUAGUUUACCCAUUAUAAAAAUAUAUGAGAUUUAUAAAAAUUUCAUUAAAUUAAAAUAAUAAGAAAUAUUUCAAAUUUCAAGAAACUAAAACAUAUUUACAUCUUUUAAAACAAUUUACUUAAGAAAACUUAAUCCAGUAAAUAUUUAAUCGUAUUACCGAUAUGGGCUAACUAAUAACAAGAUUAAAGUACUAAUUAAUAACAAUAUUAAAAUAAGAGAACUAAAUAUGUGAAAUUAAAAUAUAAGGGUUAAAUCUCAAAUUUAUAGCAUUACGGAGGGACAAAACUCAAAUUUAACCAAAAAAGUUUGAAAGAAAAACCAGACAGUUUUGUACCUUUCAAUGGUGUAAAACCCUCAUCAAUAAGCCGUCGGUAAUGGCAAUAAGCCAAGAAACCACAAGCACUGGGUGUCCAAAACAACACACCGGGAAUCCCUAACUCUUUAGCCGCCUCGAGAGUGAACGACAUGCACCCAUCGGCGACGAUACAAGUGACCGGCGGGACACCGGAAGUAGCAUUUAGCUUAACAAGGAGUCGGCGAAAGGGAGCCAAACAAUGCUUGCUAGUGGAGUCAGAAAGCGCGGGGAUGUCUUGCGUGGCGUCGAUGUCCGGCGGAGGAAGGCCGUCGGGGAUUGUCCCAAACCGGAAGUCAGGCAAGCCGUCGAGGGCGUGGGGGCCCCUGGAUUUGAGCAAGCGUUUGUGGUUGUACUCGGUGUUGACGAAAGUGAUGUGGAAGCCUUUGAAAUGGAGGAGUUUGGCCACUUUGAGCAUCGGAUUUACGUGACCUUGUGCGGGGUAGGGGAUGCAUACUGCAUGGGGCUUGUUGGGUAACGAAAUGGGUGCCAUAUUUUCUCUCUUUCUUCCUUGGUAUGCCUUACAACAAUGGUGGAAACCUAGCUUUAAAGGAAGCACCAAGUGUUUAAGCCAUAUAUUUUAGUGAUUGAAAUUAUUUAUAGGGUUAAUUCAACUAUGUUGUCCUCAAACUAUGAGUCAAAUUUUAAGUUGACCCCAAAAUUUAGAUCAUUCCAAUUGAAUUUCAGACUAGAGUAUCAUUCACUUACUUGCCAACUUGGAUUUGGUUUGGUACAUCUUUUAAUCAUGUAUGAAUUAAUCACAUAUUAGAUAUACAUUAAAUAUAAAAUAUAAUUUAAUUGGAAUGAUACUUUGGUUGGAGGAUUUAAUUGGAUUCGAUCAUGUGCUUUAUUUUUUAAUUUUAAAAAUAUAAUUUAAAAACACAACAGAUCACUAUUCUUAUAAAAAAAAAAAUAGGAAAAGUCAAAGAUUUGAGAUCUAAUUAAAAUAUUUCAAAUACAGCUAGCUAUGUAGUUACUGUGAUCAAGUAUCAUUAAAGCACGAGAAAUAGAUGAUUACAUAUUGUUAUCCAGAUUGUCUCACCCUUUUCUUAUUAGUUUAAAGGAAGAUUAGUUCCAUAUUUUAUCCAAUUUUAUAUUUUCCAGAUCUAGAUUAAGGGAAAUUAAGCUCUCUAGCACUAAAUGGACACAUGAAGACCACCAAUACUAUAUAUAAUUUAUUAUCAUAAACUACUAAAAAAAAAUUAGUCUCUCUACUUUAUUUUAUCCGUCUUUAUAUUUUAUGAAGAUUGAGAAAUUGGUCCAAUUAGAUACUAUUGUUAACCUUAUUAUGAAAUUGUUGACCUGUAAAUCUAUAUUUCAACAAAUAUAUCUAAGGUGUUUAUCUGCAGUUGUUUAUUGAAUAACACAACAGUUACUGGAAGUGCUUGCUGGAAUUGGUCACUACGGCUUAACACUGCAAAAAACUGUGCAAGCAAAAACACAAGGAACACCAAGGUUUCUUUACGCAGUCCCUACGUCUGUGGAGCUUAGCUUAGCGAAUAAUUCUAUUAUAUUUAAUCCACAAUACAAGUCACUCACACUCUAUUACUCUCAAAGUAUAGAGAUCUCACCUUUAAAUCCUCCCACUGAGAAUUUAAUUUAAGCAAUAAACACUAAAGGUUUACAAUUCAGUUUGCGCUCUCACACAAAACAAUUCCUCAAUGAACAAAUUUAGUGUUCUCAAUAUGCUCACAUACAUGACCUAGACAAGUCAUCUCAGCUUACUGACAUACUAAUUGAAUGAAUGCAAAUCAAGUCAUUGAAAAUAACUAUUACAACACAUUCAAUAAAAGCAUAAUGUGAUGAAUAUAUGAGCUUCCAAAACCAACAUCACAAUCUCAAUCAAUUCUCCAUGAGACAAGGGUUGUCUUGAUUCACUCAAAUCCAAUCCAAUAUUUAGCUUGGUUUCUAUAGAUAUCAACAAAAUAACUUGUCUAAAGAUUUUACUUCAUUAAGUUGCUAACUCAAAUAUGAUAAAAGUAACUUCUCCAUCUUAGUGGUAGAUUGCAACGGAUAUUGCUGAGUGCUAUUCAGCUCAUUGCAACACACUUUACCUCAAUAUAACAAAUGUACCAAAAUCAACAAUUCAACCUUUUUUUUUUCUAAUAACAAUUCAAUAAUUUAUAUAAAAAAAUUAUAGUUCAAAUAACAAAUUUUUAAUUUUCAAAAAUUGAAAAACUUGCAUCCAAUUGCAAGGCCGGUUAAAACAUUAUAGUAAUGCUUCUUAAUACACGAUACCUUAUUUGAUUUUAUUUAGUUUAAAGUGUUUUAUAUUUUAGGAAUUCGAAUUCCAAGUUAUUAUCUUCAAAUAUUUACUAAGCUCAAAACAUGAUUUAAUUUAAAAUUUAGGUACACUUAAAACUAGAAAUCACUUUGCAUUAAAUUAUAGGGUAAACUAUUUAGUUGGUCAUUCAAUUUUUAGGGAGUUUUUAUUUUGGUCACUGAAAAUGAAAUCUUUGUAAUUUCGUCACUCAACUUUUAAGGCACUUUCAUUUUAGUCACCCAACCGUUAAAUCUUUAAUGGCGGUUAACUGUAUACGCUAUACCAUGUUUUCAAUUUUAUUUUGGUCACCUAACUUUUAGGCCACUUUCAUUUUGGUCAUAGAAAAAAAAUCAUUUUUUAAAGUAUUGAUUGGGGUAAAAAAAAUUAAGGAUUAAAGUGAAAAAUAGUAGAAACUAAAAUAAUGUAUUAAAAAAUUGUCAAAUUGUACUUGUUUAUCACAUUGCUGAAAAUUCUAAAUUUCUUCUUUUUCAAUAUUGAAAUUUAAAUUUCAAAACGUAAAAAUCAAUUAAAUUUAAUUGUUGAAAAAUUUGUAUCCCAUGAUAAUAUUAAUCGAUUUGUUACUAUAAUAUUAAAAUUAAUUAAAUUAAUCUCCUUUUAAAAUUUAAAAUUUUAUUUUAUGUUUACAUAUUAUUCUUAAUGAAAUCAACUCAAUAACUCAUAUUUAAUAAUUGUCUACAAAACUUAAAAUUAUUUUAAUUAUAUAAUUUUGAAUCUUCCAUACUAAGCUAAAGCAAAGAAAAAGUAAUCUCUCUACUUUAAUUUAUCCGUCUUUGUAUUUUAUGAAGAUCGAGAAAUUGAUCCAAUUAGAUACUAUUGUUAACCUUGUUAUGAAAUUGUUGACCUAAAAAUCUAUAUUUCGACAAAUAUAUGUAAGGUGUUUCUACCUAUAAUUGUUUACUGAAUAAUAUAACAGUUAAUGGAAGUGCUUGAUGGAAUUGGUCACUAUGGUUUGGCACUAUGAAACACCGUGCAAACGAAAACACAAAGAACACAAUAACUGAAUCAUACUCUACUACUCCUCAAGUAUAGAGAUAUCACUUUUGUAUCUAAAAACUAGAAUACUCACCUCUAAAUCUCACUGAGAAUUAGGUAGUAAACACUAACCCUAUGUUUGCUUGGAUGGAAUUGUGAUUCCAUUUUGGGGACUAUUUUGGUUCACAGAAUACUAAUCUUCAUUUCGACAGAAUUCCUUAAAAAUGCUGAAUGGUCAUUCAACACUUAACCCAUGGAAUGGCUAUUCAACAAAUACAGGGAAUAGCUUAAAAUUUUUUUCUUCCUAGUGUACCCAUAAAAAAAAAAAAUCACAAAUUUACAAGCUUAUAUUUGACAAAAACCUGGGGACGUUAUUCUUUCACCAUUUGCUUCCAAACUUUCACUUUUCAUCUUUUUAUCGAGUUAAGGGAAAUGAAAGCUCAAAACGCUUGAAGUCGUCUCUAGAUAAGCAUCAAUUUCCAUGGGAGAAGAUUCAAGCAUCUUGGAAACUGAACAAUAUGGAUCUUUGAUACUUAAGUUUGAUUUGAGUUUUUGAGGUUUUUUUUCUUAAACUGUUUAAGAACUUGAAAACUAAAAAAUAUGAGUCUUUGAUGCUUUUCUCUGUUAAUCCCCACUUAUCUGAAUCCCUUUCUAUUAAUCAUUUAAUUUUGUUUUUGUUUUUGUUUUUUUAUUUUAUUUUUGGGUUUGUCUUUUGUUUUCAGUAAUUGACGGUGGUUUGAAAGCAAUAUUAGGUUAAAGGAUUUUCUUCAAAAGCCAGGUGUUUUCAGAAUUGAGAUCUAAGGUUUUUUUUUUUUUUUUAAUUUUUCUAUUUUUGUAAAUAAAAUCAACUUAAGGGGUGUUUUUUUAUACCUCAAAAGCUUGGUUUUUUAUGGUUAUCUUGGAUUUAAAGGGGUUGUCUAUUUUAAACAAAAACUUCCUUAAUCCUUUUUUGGGUUUUUGAAACCUGUUCUUAAAUUUUGAGAACCAGAGCAGCCGUAUUCAUCUACGCGCAAGUGAUUGAGAACCAUUCUCCAUCUAGGAAGGAUGGAAUGGACCUUAGAAGAGAGGAGUAGUUGCAAAGUCAUAUUGUUCUUUUCUUCAAGAGCUUGGAAUGAAGCUUAAAGUGUAAGUGCAGGGGCUAACUUGAUGAGAUGCUAAUUGCUUUCCAAUAUAUCACCAAUUAGGUCCUUAGUUUUUGCAAUUCUCAGGUUGUUUCGCAUAAUAUUGCUUUUGAAGCAUUAAUUUUCGUUUUGUGUUUUAUUAUGUGUAACAUUUUUUUAAGUGGUGAUUGAAAUAUUUCAAUUAAUUAUUUCAAAUUGAAAUAUUUCACAUAUAAUAAUAUUUGAAAUAUCAUAGUCUUUGGUUGUAUUGCUGCUGUUUUUUUUGGCAUAGUUGUCGAAAAUAUCCUCAACGUUUAUGGGUUCUUGGAUUUUUGUUUUGGAUUGACACUUUUAACGUUACGAUUUUUCAAAAAUCAGCCCAAUUUUAACAGGAAACAUGAGUUGGUGGCGUGCCAUCUAAGCACGAGGUGACGUCAUUAAUAAACAAAAUUGUUUAACACUUUUUUUUUUCCCAUUUUGUUUAACACUUCUCUUUCAAGAAUAAAUAUGCUAAUUCAAUCACUUCCUUCAAUGUCUUCGAAACAACCUGCAAUUGUUCAUUACAAAGAGCAUUUUUUUUGAAAAGCAAGUAUGGGUCGACAAUUCCGAUAAGCACGAAGGGGUUUGCUCCAGUUUCAAAAUUAUCAUCUUCCACCUAUCAGAAACCCUUUCACUUCCCUUGCCUUAUUAACUGCCAUCGGAACAAUCUUUUUGCGCAUGCAACUAUCUUUCAUUCUAUUGACAAAAUCUGAAGAAAAGAAAGAAAAAACCCAGAAUAAACCUAACCAUUAACAAUCCACAUAGAUCAUAAAUAGAGCAAUGUAACAAAGGCAUGAAACUGGGGAUAAAAAAAAGUACUGACCUUAUCCAUGAAAAAAGGGCCAACCCAUUUAAGAAAAACAACAACUAAUAACCCUAGAAAGGUAAGUAAAAUUUUCAACUUUUCCUCUCUCAUUAUCAUUGUCAUCAUCAUUGAAAGUGAUUGAAUUUUCAGAACAAGAGCUGAAAUUUCUCCUAUUUGGUUAGUGAGAAAAUUAGAGAAGUGAAUCAAUAAAUGGGUAGAUGAAUUGAAAAGCAAAGGGUAUCAAAUAUACCAAAAGUAAGCAAACCUAAACCAAACAAAGCAACUUUUGAUUUUCCUUGUUUUUUAUUAAUUAAAAAAAUAAAACUCUAAAAUGGGAUACAAUAAUGGGUCCUCUUUUUUCUUUUUACAACGGUGAGUACUCUUUUUACAACUGUGAGGAGUGAGAGGAAAGGGAGAGGUGGUGGGGGUUGGAACAAUGAGGAGUAAGAGGAAGGCGACGGCGAUGGGGGUUGGACACAACGGCGACAGUAGUUAGAGGGGAAGAGAGAAAGAGGAGAAGAAAGAAAAUUGAAACAAAAUAAAAAAAAAAUGUUAAACAAUUUAGUUUAUAGAUGGCUUCACCUAAUACUUGUAUGUCACACCAAAUAGGCUACUUAGUUGACCUACGACUAACUCACAUUUUUCGUUACAACUGAGCUGAUUUCUAAAUAAUCAUAACGUUGAGUGUGCGAAUCUAAAAAAAUAAUAAUUAAUAACUCAAACCCAUAAACUUGAAGGUAUUUUCCACAAUUAUUAUUAUUAUUUAAAUAAAGUUGAUCAUUCAUGUCCUUCGAGCAAGACUUCAUUAAUCAACCUAUCCAGAUUCAACAAGGACGGUCCAUCCAAACACGCAGCUUUUUCAGCUUUUCUCUUCCAUUCCAUGGCGUUUUCCCUCAUCUCCUCCCCUUUCCUUCCUUCCAUGAGCUCCCUCACUAGCUUCUCCACUUUCUCCCUCUUCACAUCAUGGUCGAUUUCGAUGCCGAUACCCCAUUCAUUACAAGCAAACCAACAAUUCGUUUGUUGCUCCGCGAAGAACGGCCAAGAAGCUAUCGCCACCCCACUCGAAAUGCUUUCCAACGUUGAAUUCCACCCGCUGUGUGUCAAGAACCCGGCCACCGCGUUAUGGUUCAAUACUUCCUCUUGCGGGCACCAGCUCGCCAUGAAACACCGGUCUUUAGUUUCCUCGAUAAACUCUGGCGGCAAAAUGGCCGAAUCCCCCCGUACCAAAUCGGGUCUAAUGAUCCACAAAAAAGGUUUUUUACUAUUAGCCAAACCCCAAGCGAAUUCAACCAUUUGAUUCGCCGUCAUCACCGUGAUGCUCCCGAAAUUAACAUAAACGACCGAUUUGGGUUCUUUUAAAUCUAGCCAUUGAAAACAUCGAGGCUCUUCUUUCCACAGGUUGGACCCCAUGGAGCUUAAAGGUGACGACGGUGGGAUGUGGUUGAGGAGCAAGUGAAGGGGUCCAAUGGUGUAAAAUUUAGGGAAGAUAGAGGAGAGAGCUUUGACGACAUCAUGUUCCAAUUCAUCGAAGGUGUUUACGAUAAUGGCGGAAGCUUUGGAAGCUCUGUCGCACUCCGUCGCAAAGAAAUUCAACAUUAUAUCGUCUGGAUUCGUUGUUCGAACAAAGCUUGGAAGGUCCCUUAUGCGGAUGUUUUUCAUGCCCGGGAUCCAGUCGAUG